GGAAGUAUAGUUCAAUGGUAGAACGAUUGCCUUUUAAGCAAUGUAUGAUAGUUCGAUUCUAUCUACUUCUA
Molecule: transfer RNA, 71 nt
Rfam family: tRNA
About the family: Transfer RNA (tRNA) molecules are approximately 80 nucleotides in length. Their secondary structure includes four short double-helical elements and three loops (D, anti-codon, and T loops). Further hydrogen bonds mediate the characteristic L-shaped molecular structure. tRNAs have two regions of fundamental functional importance: the anti-codon, which is responsible for specific mRNA codon recognition, and the 3' end, to which the tRNAs corresponding amino acid is attached (by aminoacyl-tRNA synthetases). tRNAs cope with the degeneracy of the genetic code in two manners: having more than one tRNA (with a specific anti-codon) for a particular amino acid; and 'wobble' base-pairing, i.e. permitting non-standard base-pairing at the 3rd anti-codon position.